This 460-nucleotide ribosomal RNA is filed under the name uncultured bacterium. Its description in RNAcentral is "partial 16S ribosomal RNA". It matches the Rfam family "Bacterial small subunit ribosomal RNA", at positions 338 to 795 of the family's 1533-position model. The record is from RNAcentral.
CCUACGGGUGGCAGCAGUGAGGAAUAUUGGUCAAUGGACGAGAGUCUGAACCAGCCAAGUAGCGUGAAGGAUGACUGCCCUAUGGGUUGUAAACUUCUUUUAUAUGGGAAUAAAAUGUUCCACGUGUGGGAUUUUGUAUGUACUAUAUGAAUAAGGAUCGGCUAACUCCGUUCCAGCAGCCGCGGUAAUACGGAGGAUCCGAGAGUUAUCCGGAUUUAGUGGGUUUAAAGGGAGCGUAGGUGGGUUGUUAAGUCAGUUGUGAAAGUUUGCGGCUCAACCGGAAAAUUGCAUUGGAAAAUGGCAGUCUUGAGUACAGUAGAGGUGGGCGGAAUUCGUGGUGUAGCGGUGAAAUGCUUAGAUAUCACGAAGAACUCCGAUUGCGAAGGCAGUUCACUGGACUGCAACUGACACUGAGGCUCGAAAGUGUGGGUAUCAAACAGGAUUAGAUACCCCAGUAGUC